RNAcentral lists this ribosomal RNA (293 nucleotides) under uncultured Streptococcus sp. RNAcentral's name for it is "partial 16S ribosomal RNA". It matches the Rfam family "Bacterial small subunit ribosomal RNA", at positions 1089 to 1382 of the family's 1533-position model. Lineage: Bacteria; Bacillati; Bacillota; Bacilli; Lactobacillales; Streptococcaceae. The record is from RNAcentral.
GCAACGAGCGCAACCCCUAUUGUUAGUUGCCAUCAUUCAGUUGGGCACUCUAGCGAGACUGCCGGUAAUAAACCGGAGGAAGGUGGGGAUGACGUCAAAUCAUCAUGCCCCUUAUGACCUGGGCUACACACGUGCUACAAUGGUUGGUACAACGAGUUGCGAGUCGGUGACGGCGAGCUAAUCUCUUAAAGCCAAUCUCAGUUCGGAUUGUAGGCUGCAACUCGCCUACAUGAAGUCGGAAUCGCUAGUAAUCGCGGAUCAGCACGCCGCGGUCGAAUACGUUCCCGGGCCUU